Molecule: ribosomal RNA, 505 nt
Filed under: uncultured bacterium
Lineage: Bacteria
Description: partial 16S ribosomal RNA
Rfam family: Bacterial small subunit ribosomal RNA
Source: RNAcentral
GACGAACGCUGGCGGCGUGCCUAAUACAUGCAAGUAGAACGCACAGUUUAUACCGUAGCUUGCUACACCAUAGACUGUGAGUUGCGAACGGGUGAGUAACGCGUAGGUAACCUGCCUGGUAGCGGGGGAUAACUAUUGGAAACGAUAGCUAAUACCGCAUCAUAUUAAUUAUUGCAUGAUAAUUAAUUGAAAGGUGCAAUUGCACCACUACCAUAUGGACCUGCGUUGUAUUAGCUAGUAGGUGAGGUAACGGCUCACCUAGGCGACGAUACAUAGCCGACCUGGGAGGGUGAUCGGCCACACUGGGACUGAGACACGGCCCAGACUCCUACGGGAGGCAGAAGGAGGGAAUCUUCGGCAAUGGACGAAAGGCUGACCGAGCAACGCCGCGUGAGUGAAGAAGGUUUUCGGAUCGUAAAGCUCUGUUGUAAGAGAAGAACGGGUGUGAGAGUGGAAAGUUCACACUGUGACGGUAUCUUACCAGAAAGGGACGGCUAACUACGUG